GGUUCCUGUCCAACGUUAAUCGGGGCAGGGUGAGUCGACCCCUAAGGCGAGGCCGAAAGGCGUAGUCGAUGGGAAACAGGUUAAUAUUCCUGUACUUGGUGUUACUGCGAAGGGGGGACGGAGAAGGCUAUGUUGGCCGGGCGACGGUUGUCCCGGUUUAAGCGUGUAGGCUGGUUUUCCAGGCAAAUCCGGAAAAUCAAGGCUGAGGCGUGAUGACGAGGCACUACGGUGCUGAAGCGACAAAUGCCCUGCUUCCAGGAAAAGCCUCUAAGCAUCAGGUAACAUCAAAUCGUACCCCAAACCGACACAGGUGGUCAGGUAGAGAAUACCAAGGCGCUUGAGAGAACUCGGGUGAAGGAACUAGGCAAAAUGGUGCCGUAACUUCGGGAGAAGGCACGCUGAUAUGUAGGUGAAGCGACUUGCUCGUGGAGCUGAAAUCAGUCGAAGAUACCAGCUGGCUGCAACUGUUUAUUAAAAACACAGCACUGUGCAAACACGAAAGUGGACGUAUACGGUGUGACGCCUGCCCGGUGCCGGAAGGUUAAUUGAUGGGGUUAGCGGUAACGCGAAGCUCUUGAUCGAAGCCCCGGUAAACGGCGGCCGUAACUAUAACGGUCCUAAGGUAGCGAAAUUCCUUGUCGGGUAAGUUCCGACCUGCACGAAUGGCGUAAUGAUGGCCAGGCUGUCUCCACCCGAGACUCAGUGAAAUUGAACUCGCUGUGAAGAUGCAGUGUACCCGCGGCAAGACGGAAAGACCCCGUGAACCUUUACUAUAGCUUGACACUGAACAUUGAGCCUUGAUGUGUAGGAUAGGUGGGAGGCUUUGAAGUGUGGACGCCAGUCUGCAUGGAGCCGACCUUGAAAUACCACCCUUUAAUGUUUGAUGUUCUAACGUGGGCCCCUUACCGGGGUUGCGGACAGUGUCUGGUGGGUAGUUUGACUGGGGCGGUCUCCUCCUAAAGAGUAACGGAGGAGCACGAAGGUUGGCUAAUCCUGGUCGGACAUCAGGAGGUUAGUGCAAUGGCAUAAGCCAGCUUGACUGCGAGCGUGACGGCGCGAGCAGGUGCGAAAGCAGGUCAUAGUGAUCCGGUGGUUCUGAAUGGAAGGGCCAUCGCUCAACGGAUAAAAGGUACUCCGGGGAUAACAGGCUGAUACCGCCCAAGAGUUCAUAUCGACGGCGGUGUUUGGCACCUCGAUGUCGGCUCAUCACAUCCUGGGGCUGAAGUAGGUCCCAAGGGUAUGGCUGUUCGCCAUUUAAAGUGGUACGCGAGCUGGGUUUAGAACGUCGUGAGACAGUUCGGUCCCUAUCUGCCGUGGGCGCUGGAGAACUGAGGGGGGCUGCUCCUAGUACGAGAGGACCGGAGUGGACGCAUCACUGGUGUUCGGGUUGUCAUGCCAAUGGCACUGCCCGGUAGCUAAAUGCGGAAGAGAUAAGUGCUGAAAGCAUCUAAGCACGAAACUUGCCCCGAGAUGAGUUCUCCCUGACUCCUUGAGAGUCCUGAAGGAACGUUGAAGACGACGACGUUGAUAGGCCGGGUGUGUAAGCGCAGCGAUGCGUUGAGCUAACCGGUACUAAUGAACCGUGAGGCUUAACCUU
Molecule: ribosomal RNA, 1597 nt
Filed under: Escherichia coli
Lineage: Bacteria; Pseudomonadati; Pseudomonadota; Gammaproteobacteria; Enterobacterales; Enterobacteriaceae
Description: partial 23S ribosomal RNA
Rfam family: Bacterial large subunit ribosomal RNA
Source: RNAcentral